Argentina anserina (silverweed cinquefoil) is the source of this 418-nucleotide long non-coding RNA. RefSeq lists it as uncharacterized. The transcript is spliced from 2 exons. NCBI's taxonomy places the organism in Eukaryota, Viridiplantae, Streptophyta, Magnoliopsida, Rosales, Rosaceae. The record is from RefSeq and is a predicted model, not a curated record.
GUCAGUAAAAGACCUUGACUUCUCUUCUCAAUCUUCUUCUAUUUCCCAACUUCCGAUAAUUAAUUCAAGAGAUCCAUAAUCGAUUAAGUCCCAGAAUCGUCUGUCUUCGUCUCCAUGAUCAAGACCCAUAAUCUUGAGAGAAGGAGCGUUGGUUGGAAACUAAAGUCUGGAGAUCGGUGGUGGGUAUCCUGAUCAUGCAGAUUGAUGAAUUUUGAACAGAAGUAACAGUUGGAGUUUUGAGUUUUUGAUCUUGUUUGGAAGUUUACUUGGAGAGGAUCAGAUUCAAUCUUGUAUUCAAUACAAAGAGUUUGUUGGUGGGUAUUUAAUUGUAUCUUUGUUUCAAGCCUAUUCGAUCAACUGGCAUAGAUUGUUUUCAUUUGAGUUCCAAUGAAUCUGUAUGUAAAAAGGAGUUCUGAGA